GCAAAAGAGUACUAAUUAAUUUGGUUCUAAAAGAUCUGGCUGCUACUAACCUUAUUUCUAAGAAUAUGAAGGGGUAGGACUGGUGAGCCAAAAGGAUUCUUCCAGUUUGAGAGGCAUUUGGGGAUCCUCAGGGACUGGAAAGCCUCCUCAACCGGGGGCGCCAUAGCAUUUCCACCAUCCUGCGUGGGUGUUUGUUUGAGCGCAGAUGGAAUCAGGAACAGUGCAGCCUUUCUCCCGAAAAGUGCACCCCAUCAACUCAUCUGUGCUCAUGCAUGAACGUAGGGGGCGCCAUGGCAUUUCCCCCAUCAUUUCAGCACAGAUGGAAUCAGGAAUAGUGGAUCUCUCUUGGCUCACUUGUUUCACAGACUGCACUGAGAAUGGUCGUCACUGGCCAUGUGUCACAUUCGAUGGACUCAAUGGGUAAAGUAGGCAGGGAGGUGAUCGCAAAGGACACCCUUCCAGUUUGAGACUCAUUUGGGGAUCCUCAGGGACUGGGGGAGCCUUCUCUCUGGGCGCUCUGGACUCUUCCAGUGUGAUUCACCCUCACCGCGCU
RNAcentral lists this long non-coding RNA (553 nucleotides) under Naja naja (Indian cobra). RNAcentral's name for it is "lncRNA (ENSNNAG00000012668.1)". The record is from RNAcentral. Lineage: Eukaryota; Metazoa; Chordata; Lepidosauria; Squamata; Elapidae.